GGCAGGCGCGAAAACUUUNCAAUCCGGGAAAGCGCGAUAAGGGGACGCCGAGUGCCAGCAUCUUAUGUCGGCUGUUCCGCACGUAUAAAUCACAUGUGUUAGCAAGGGCCGGGCAAGACCGGUGCCAGCCGCCGCGGUAA
Molecule: ribosomal RNA, 140 nt
Filed under: uncultured archaeon
Lineage: Archaea
Description: partial 16S ribosomal RNA
Rfam family: Archaeal small subunit ribosomal RNA
Source: RNAcentral